This 230-nucleotide long non-coding RNA is filed under the name Elaeis guineensis (African oil palm). RNAcentral's name for it is "long non-coding RNA (EGUI_LNC031487)". The record is from RNAcentral. Lineage: Eukaryota; Viridiplantae; Streptophyta; Magnoliopsida; Arecales; Arecaceae.
CCGGUCAACCACUGGGUUAGUUCGAGUAUUUUUUUAAUUUUUUUGUUAAAUUAUUAGGAUCAUAAUUUUUUUCUUAACUAUUUUUUUGCUUAGAUAAUCUCCUUUAGCAUGUCAAAAUGUAUUAAGUAAAACAUAUGUGAUACUAUAAAUCCAUAAAUCCAUACAUCCUACAAACAUGAAAAGUAUAAAAAUAUAUACAUCAUGUGCCACAAGGCGGUCUUGCUUCUUCC